AACGAACGCUGGCGGCAGGCUUAACACAUGCAAGUCGAACGCGUCCUUGUGGCGCGUGGCGCACGGGUGAGUAACGCGUGGGAACGUACCGUUUAGUAGGGAAUAACUCCGGGAAACUGGUGACAAUACCCUAUACGCCCUCAGGGGGAAAGAUUUAUCGCUAAACGAUCGGCCCGCGUGAGAUUAGCUUGUUGGUGAGGUAAUGGCUCACCAAGGCGACGAUCUCUAGCUGGUCUGAGAGGAUGAUCAGCCACACUGGGACUGAGACACGGCCCAGACUCCUACGGGAGGCAGCAGUGAGGAAUAUUGGACAAUGGGGGAAACCCUGAUCCAGCCAUGCCGCGUGAAUGAUGAAGGCCUUAGGGUUGUAAAGUUCUUUCGCUGGUGAAGAUAAUGACGGUAACCAGUAAAGAAGCCCCGGCUAACUUCGUGCCAGCCGCCGCGGUAA
RNAcentral lists this ribosomal RNA (448 nucleotides) under uncultured bacterium. RNAcentral describes it as "partial 16S ribosomal RNA". It matches the Rfam family "Bacterial small subunit ribosomal RNA", at positions 29 to 523 of the family's 1533-position model. The record is from RNAcentral.